RNA transcript from Vigna radiata var. radiata (mung bean), 2389 nucleotides. It is a transcript of the gene named coiled-coil domain-containing protein 124, with no coding region annotated. The transcript has 5 exons. NCBI's taxonomy places the organism in Eukaryota, Viridiplantae, Streptophyta, Magnoliopsida, Fabales, Fabaceae. The record is from RefSeq and is a predicted model, not a curated record.
GUCAGCUAGCUGUUCCUCGUGAAUAUAUAAUCUGGUCACGGCACGCAUCAAAUUAUUGAUACAGCAGCAUCAGCACCGGAAGAAAAGUAAACCCUAAGUAAGAUGCCGAAGAAGAUGGGGGUGAACACCAAGGCGGAGGCAGCGAGGGCGCGUAAGAGCGCGGCGGAAACGGAGCGCAAGGAGAAGGAGACUCGACAAAAGGAGGAUCAGUACUGGCAAGAUGCCGAGGGCUCCAAGUCACGAGCCGCAAAGAAGAAGGAGGAAGAGGCCGAAAAGAGGGCCGAAGCAGCCGCACGUCGGGCGGAGGCGCGUAGGUUGGCGGAGCAGGAGGAGAAGGAGCUGGAGAAGGCGAUGAAAAAGGUGGACAAGAAGGCGAACCGGGUAUCGAUACCCGUGCCGAAGGUGACGGAGGUGGAGCUGAGGCGGCGGCGGGAAGAGGAGCAGGCGGAGGCUGAGAGGAAGGCGGAGGAGGUGAAGAAGCGGCAGAGUCGCACUGCUGCAGAGGAUGAGUACGAGAGAAUGGUUCUGGUGUCCAACACUAAUCGCGACGAUUCUAUCAUCGAAGCGAGAUCUUUGGAUGAUGCCAUCGCUCAGAUGACCAUCGCCGACAACUUGCCCCCCGAUCGCCAUCCCGAGAGGCGCCUCAAGGCCUCCUUCAAGGCAUUCGAAGAAGCCGAACUUCCUAAGCUGAAAGAAGAGAAACCGGGUCUUACUCAUAAUCAGUACAAGGACUUGAUAUGGAAGCUAUGGAAGAAAUCUCCUGACAAUCCUCUUAAUCAAGUUGCAGAGUGAAUGAUCAGCUGCAGCUGGAUUGUAACCGAAUGCAACACCCUCUUCGAGUGGGCAUUGUCAUGGCGUGGUGGAUCCAUUUCUAGUUGAGUAUCAAAUUGUUCACCUUCUGGACAUGCACAGACAUUGUUGCCAUCAACUUUGAAUUGGACUGCUCUGCUCGUGAUAAGGGGUUUCUAAACUACAUUGUAUUUAAAUUCAACAAAUUAUGGUACUGGAUGCUUGCAGAAACAAAUGGGUUUGUGGCAUCUCGUAGAUAUUGAAUAUGGAUUUCAAACAAAUAGUUAUUAUAUCCUAUCGAUCUUCUCACUCGUCCCUGCAAAUUGUCUGACUAUCCCUGCAUUUGUAAGUCACAUUGCUCGCAGUGCAACAACAAACAAAGCUAGUAACCUUUAGAAUUUAGGGCAACUUAUGUAGGUUUUUUGAAGUGUACAUGUUCUGUUAUCAUCCUUCAGUCCACAAUUUGAUGUUGCAGCGAUAACUACAUUGACGCAACUUUCAAUUGAGAUAAUCUUGGGUUGCGUCUUAAUUGAUGGUCCAUCUGGUUGGAUUUUGACGAUUGCUUUAUCUACUUGAUCGUCUUGGAUUGUACUCUGGGGCUUUCUUUGUUCAAUAACCCAACGCAAGAAAAUUAUGAUAGCUAAAUGUCAAAUAGGAUUUCCCUAAUAGCUAUUUAUGAAUAUAUAAUAUGAACAAGAUUCUCAUGUGGUAAGAAAUGAUAAAUCCUGUUCAUAUCCUAACCUGUUCGACAUGUAACCGUCGUAUUUCUCUUGGUUGAGUUUUGAAUAAAGUCUGGAUAGCACAACCCCAAGAUAAUCAAGCAACAAAGGGUUCGAUCAUCAAUUAAGAUGCAUCAUCAACUUGGUCAGAGAAUCUAUGUUUGUGUCUUAUUUGAAAGUUGCUUUACACAGCUACCGUAGGAACUUAAAGUCUUGGAAUGAAGGAUGAUAACAUAGAGAACAUGGGCACAUAGUUGCUUAUUGUCAUGGAUUGUAGUAGGUAUUUGCUUUACUGCAUUAGGCAUCAUUAAUAUGGUUUUAAUAUGGAUAAAAUUUUGAUAAAGUAGUCGAGCUUUUGUUUGAAAGUAGUGUAGCAAUAUCAUCUUUGUUAAUAUUGUUCAUUUAUAUUGGAUUAAGUUAAAGCAGUUCCUACUCUCGGUGUUUUAAUACUACGUGAGGAGGAUAAGAGUUACUUCCCAACUCUUUGGGAACUAGUGUUAUGAUUUACAUAUGCAAGGAUAGUGGCAUGAGUUGCAGUAACAAGUGGAACAUCACUGAGGAAAUAUUGUUUGAAAUCAAUAUAGUAUUUACGAGAUGUCACAAACACGUGAAUCAAGUACCUGGGGGCAGGAAUAGGAAGACCCACGCAAGGUGGGUGGGUUUCCUUUAAGGCUCAGAACCUGUCUAAUUUUGUGAUAGGGUUUCUCUUUAAAAAGUUACUACUCAUGGUCACAUUUUUCAAUCUCAGUUUGAUCCAAUAAUGGCGAUUUUCCAAUUCGCAAUAUUCUUAAAUAUUUUAGGAUCAUAUCCCCAUUAUGAAAAUUUGACGCUAUGAACUUAAUGCUACAGGUUGAUGACAAUUCCGUGAGCAUAUAAAAAGA